Long non-coding RNA from Cyprinodon tularosa, 2538 nucleotides. RefSeq lists it as uncharacterized. Lineage: Eukaryota; Metazoa; Chordata; Actinopteri; Cyprinodontiformes; Cyprinodontidae. The record is from RefSeq and is a predicted model, not a curated record. The transcript has 3 exons.
GUAUAAUACUAUAUGAGUAUAUUUAUGCUAAUUAGUAGAGCAUUAAAUAUUACCUUUUAUACAACAUAACCUCUACAGUAUUGAUGGAAAGGUCUUGAUACGUAGAAAAUUGAGAAAAAUAGAUAAUCUAAAGAGGUAAAUAAUGGCAAAAACUUGUCAGAAAAUGUAAUUAACUUGUGAAUUUGUAGAUAUUGUGAAAUCAAUUCCAAUAGUUUCUGUGAAUAUUGAUAUGUCAUGUCAUUUAUUUUUUACAUCAUAUAAAUACUGCUGUCUUACAUGGAGCUCUGUAACACUAAGUGUUAUGGUAGUGAAGAACAGUAGAGGUAAUAUUCAUCCAGCUACUUACAAUAUCAGUACCUUGUGUGCACUUUCCAAAUCUAACUGUGAAUUAGCAGCUGUCUGCAAGCAGAGUUGUACACACUGUGUUCCCCUUCCAGCGAUUUCACUGCAUGUCCCUCCGCAUUGAGAGAUCAAAGACUUCCUCCACAAAGACAGCUCCAGGAACUUUGUGGACUUUGUGACUUUAUUAGGAAGUUGUUCUCUGUAUGCCCAGUGACUGGACUCUGUAUGUUACACUUGUUUGUGUGCUUACUGUAUGAGAUGUAGCAAAUGGAAAUGGGGAUUAAAAGGACGUUGUAUUUUAUUGUGGUGUUAAAAGAUCCUUCUUCUUCACAAUUAAGCAUCAAUCUGCAUAUUUUUAUUGAGUAUUUGCCCAACUCUGUCAUUUUUGCUACUGUGCAUACAAGACAUUUUGUAUGUAUUGUGAAAAAUUUGAGGGUUAGCAAAGAAAUAGCAAGCAUACAUGAGACAUGGUAACAUAAACAAGUUCAAUUCCAGGCAAUAAGUCAGAAUUGUUUAUGUUAUCAGUGCUCAAGUAAUACACCCGACAGUGUCUGAAAUGAAUAGGGUUAAUGCCAGAAACAUUUCUAAAAAAUAAUCUUUUGUCUCAGAAUUUUGGGAGUUUAUUUAUCUAUUUUUUGACACAUUUAGGGUUAGGGUUAGGUUUUAUCUACUGUAGGCUGACAUUUUAGAUUUAGAAGCAAGUUAAUUUUUCAAAUUGAUAAACAUUUUUCCUCUGACUGGCAGGAAUAUUAGCUUUUGUCAAAAUAUGAUAAUACAGAUUUUCAAACAAAUUGAACAAACUUCUAUAUUUGACUUAUAUUUUGUGUAAAAGAGCAUUUCCAAAAUCUUACAUAACUGUUGCCAAUUGGGAUUAUUUAAGGUUCUACACCUUUACAAGUUAACCAUGUGGUUCUUAAGCAUCAUAAUUACCAUAAUCAACCAAUCAAAACCAUAGUUUGAAUCUAUGAUAUGUCAGGAAGGACAUCCUGCAUAAAAACUCUGCCAAGUCGGCUUGUAGAUUGUGGUGUCUCAUAUGGCUGCAUGAGGUAGAGAGGAAUGGAUUCAACCAAUCAAUGGGGUUAAAACCAAAUGCUAUCUUCAGCUGGUUUGUGGGAGGUCUUGGCAAAAACAAAAGAUCACAGGCGGUAAAAAGAGAUAACUGUACUCAGAAGGCUGUUAGCAGAAGAUCAUUACCAAGGCUAUCCUGAUGAAUGUGAGCUAUGCUAGUGGAAUUAUCCCAAGCCAAAGAACCCAAGAGACACUGCUGACCACCAUGGAGAGAAACCAGGGAGGAAGACAUCUUGACUGACCUUCAUGAACUGUUAUGUGUUCAAAGAAGAAAACAUCUUUUCCUCUGUUACAGUAGGGGAAAACAUAUUAGUUUUCACGUAAUGGAAAAGGAAACCUAAUCAAAUUAUCAUGAAACGCAAGACCAACAGUCUGCAGAUCUUUGUCGACAUUAGAUGUUUCAGUAUUACAGUCAUUUGAAAUGUAAUGUACUGUGAUUGGUCUAGUCAGACAAUUUAAACAUGACACGGGAUGGAUGGAAAGAUUAGGGGGAUGCUCAUUUCUUCCAAACACAGAAACAUGGAGCUCACUUCCAAAGGUAACUUGUCCAACGCUGAUAAGGAGUGAACAAGAAAGUGAUGGAGCCCGGGCCAACAAAACCAUGGAAGAUGGCAUCCAUUCUAAUAACUAAGAGAAUGGCUACACAACACAGCAACCUCUCUUCGGCUUUAUUUUAAUUCAUUCUGUAUAAUUUGGAUUCAAGGUUAUUAUUCUGCAGAUACGAAUGAUCUCUGAUAAUACAGAAAAGAUCAAAGGUAGCAUGUUAUGAAGGAAACACUAAGGAGACAGCUCAUCUGACCCAGGUAUCUGAGUUUGGAUGAACAGAACAUGGUUUCCUUACAUACAGGUUGGACGACCAAUCAACUAACCAGAAGCACAGCUUUGGGCUAAUCCAUUGGUUCCCAGCCCUUUCCUGCGGGUUUUAGGUGUUUACUUGUUCCACUACACCAGAAAAGAAAGGACGAUUAACAGGCUUCUAUAGCCCUUGAUUGCAAAGGAGGAGCCCUAAUUUGAAGCAGGUGUGGUUCAACAAAGAGAUAUCUAAAACUUGAAGGGCAGGAGUCCCGGAGGACCUGGGUUGGGAACCACGGAGCUAAUCUAUAUGAAAAAAAACACGCUGCAGCUCUU